Molecule: ribosomal RNA, 398 nt
Filed under: uncultured bacterium
Lineage: Bacteria
Description: bacterial SSU rRNA
Rfam family: Bacterial small subunit ribosomal RNA
Source: RNAcentral
AAUAUAUCGGAACGUGCCCAGUCGUGGGGGAUAACGUAGCGAAAGCUACGCUAAUACCGCAUACGAUCUACGGAUGAAAGCGGGGAUCGCAAGACCUCGCGCGAUUGGAGCGGCCGAUAUCAGAUUAGGUAGUUGGUGAGGUAAAGGCUCACCAAGCCGACGAUCUGUAGCUGGUCUGAGAGGACGACCAGCCACACUGGGACUGAGACACGGCCCCAGACUCCUACGGGAGGCAGCAGUGGGAAUUUUGGACAAUGGGCGCAAGCCUGAUCCAGCAAUGCCGCGUGCAGGAUGAAGGCCUUCGGGUUGUAAACUGCUUUUGUACGGAACGAAACGGUGAGCUCUAAUACAGUUUGCUAAUGACGGUACCGUAAGAAUAAGCACCGGCUAACUACGUG